UUUGUAGACCUUUCAGGUCUAUGUUGCUUCAUUUACCCCAAUGUAUGUUAAUAGAAUGUUGUGACUAUAAAAAUAUAUACAACUUUCAGCAACGGAUCUCUUGGCUCUCGCAUCGAUGAAGAACGCAGCGAAAUGCGAUAAGUAAUGUGAAUUGCAGAAUUCAGUGAAUCAUCGAAUCUUUGAACGCACCUUGCGCUCCUUGGUAUUCCGAGGAGCAUGCCUGUUUGAGUGUCAUUAAUAUAUAUAUCAAGCCUUCACUUGUUGAAUGGUUUGGAUGUGGGGGUUUGCUGGCCUCUUAAAGGGUUCAGCUCCUCUGAAAUGCAUUAGCAGAACAAUCUGUUCAUUGGUGUGAUAACUAUCUACGCUCUUGAAUAAGAUGCAGUUCAGCUUUCUAACUGUCCUUGGACAAUUUAUCAUUUAUGUGACCUCAAAUCAGGUA
Molecule: ribosomal RNA, 439 nt
Filed under: Cortinarius decipiens
Lineage: Eukaryota; Fungi; Basidiomycota; Agaricomycetes; Agaricales; Cortinariaceae
Description: eukaryotic LSU rRNA
Rfam family: 5.8S ribosomal RNA (bases 81-234)
Source: RNAcentral